This is a non-coding RNA of Paramuricea clavata, 279 nucleotides long. Lineage: Eukaryota; Metazoa; Cnidaria; Anthozoa; Malacalcyonacea; Plexauridae. The record is from the annotation of a GenBank genome assembly.
CAAAUCCUUGUAAGGGGCGGACCAUUAGAAAAGUGAGGGGGGGGGGACAAAAAUAAAAUUCGAGCUGGGAAAAUAGAAAGAAAAAAAAAAUUUGUGCACCAGAAAUGUCUGAAAAAAAAUUCGUGCAGAGACUUUUCAUUAGGGAAAAUUACAGGACCUAUCGGAGGUACAGUGUAAGGGUGUCCCCUAAAUUUCGAAAAUAAGCGUUUUCAUCGUGUUUUAAGAAGUUUUUUGGGGGAAAAUGUGUUUUAAACCUUAAUUGAAAUGAUGUUAGCCCGA